GGAGAGAUGCCGGAGUGGUUAACGGAGCGGUUUGCUAAACCGUCAGCGCAGAAAUGUGCUGCGGGGGUUCGAAUCCCCCUCUCUCCG
Molecule: transfer RNA, 87 nt
Filed under: Chitinophagales bacterium
Lineage: Bacteria; Pseudomonadati; Bacteroidota; Chitinophagia; Chitinophagales
Description: tRNA-Ser
Rfam family: tRNA
About the family: Transfer RNA (tRNA) molecules are approximately 80 nucleotides in length. Their secondary structure includes four short double-helical elements and three loops (D, anti-codon, and T loops).
Source: RNAcentral